RNAcentral lists this ribosomal RNA (253 nucleotides) under uncultured bacterium. RNAcentral's name for it is "partial 16S ribosomal RNA". It matches the Rfam family "Bacterial small subunit ribosomal RNA", at positions 524 to 776 of the family's 1533-position model. The record is from RNAcentral.
UACAGAGGAGGCAAGCGUUGUUCGGAAUUACUGGGCGUAAAGGGCGCGUAGGCGGCCAACUAAGUCAGACGUGAAAUCCCCAGGCUCAACCUGGGAACUGCGUCUGAUACUGGAUGGCUCGAGUUCGGGAGAGGGAAGUGGAAUUCCAGGUGUAGCGGUGAAAUGCGUAGAUAUCUGGAGGAACACCGGUGGCGAAGGCGGCUUCCUGGACCGACACUGACGCUGAGGCGCGAAAGCCAGGGGAGCAAACGGG